CGACAGACCGCGUAAGGGAUUGCAGCGUAAAUCCUUUUAUUUUAUGUAGCGCAGCGAAAGAAAAAUAAAAGAUUGCAGCGAAAAGCCCGGCCCGCA
Molecule: small RNA, 96 nt
Filed under: Flavobacterium noncentrifugens
Lineage: Bacteria; Pseudomonadati; Bacteroidota; Flavobacteriia; Flavobacteriales; Flavobacteriaceae
Description: Flavo-1 RNA
Rfam family: Flavo-1 RNA
Source: RNAcentral